Long non-coding RNA from Prunus persica (peach), 1111 nucleotides. RefSeq lists it as uncharacterized. The transcript is spliced from 2 exons. The record is from RefSeq and is a predicted model, not a curated record. Lineage: Eukaryota; Viridiplantae; Streptophyta; Magnoliopsida; Rosales; Rosaceae.
GCUUCUCUAUCAACUCAAGCUUCGAUUUCUUCGGUUUCGCCUGCUUCGUCCUCCGGUUUCGGCACCAAAAAAAGACCCAACCAGCCUAGGAGGCCCGCCCAGCCGCCUAGCUCCCGCCUAGCCGCCUAUCCACCCGCCUAGGCCGAUUUUUCGAACGCUGCGAUUGACUGGAAGUCUGAAACCCGAAAUUGAAAAAUUUUAGCUGCAAAUUUGAGCUUAAGAUUGAGAUUGGGAAGCCGAAGCAGUGAAGCACAAGUCAAGUCCACAGAAGAAGAGAUGAUGAGCCUCUUAAUUCAUCUAAUUCCAUUCCUCUCCCUGUUUCCCGCUUUAUUCUCUUCUCUCUUGGCUCUCUCCCAAACGACAUGUUCACCUCACCACACCAACGACAACGACGACAAUUCCUCCCCUCUGCCAACUCCGCCUUAUUCUCUUCUCUCUUCGCAUUGAAGAAAAAAACACAAAAUUUGCUGACUUGGUGUCUGUCUUCAGUGGAAGGAAAUGAUGAAGCUAUCCUAUCAUGGAGUUUCCAUGGUCUUGCCGAUAACAAGUGAAAUUUCUUACAUCAAUCAGCUCACUGAACCACAGCAGGCACCCACUUCCUCCAUCCCUGGCAUCCAAGUUUGCCAAAGCUGUGCAGGAGCAGUUCUUCAUGCACAACAUCUCACAUUCCUUGAGUUCCAUACUUCUGUUAAACCCAGAUACAUCAUUUGCAGUCUGUUUUGUUCACUCUUAAGUUUGUUUCCCAUUUCAGCGUCAAGUCUUCAGCUUUCAAUUAUAUGCUAAAUUGAAAGAAAAUAUAUAAUGUUUGACUGCAUUUGUAUGUCACAGAGAGACUCAUUGGCUACUGAUGAGAGGCUUACGCUCUAGACGAAGAGGUUCGUAUCUUUUUCAAUUUAUUUUUUGUAAUUUUCAAUUCAAUGAAAAAGUAGCCGAAAGAGAGUGUUGGAUUUGAGAAAUAGGCUUUGCAAUGCUUUUUAUGCACUGAUGUACUCAAUCCAUCUACUCGGUUUUUAAAAAAUGUGAAUGUAUUAUUGAACAAUACGUACAUAUAUAUAUAUAUAUGUGUGUGUGUUUGUGUGCACGUAUAUAUGUACAAAAGACUAUAGUGGCU